This is a non-coding RNA of Thermobacillus composti KWC4, 72 nucleotides long. The record is from Rfam. Lineage: Bacteria; Bacillati; Bacillota; Bacilli; Caryophanales; Paenibacillaceae.
GAAAGCCGUAUGCAGGAAAACCGCACGUACGGUUUGAUGAGGAGGGGCUGGUCCCCCAGCCCUUUACUCUAC